Long non-coding RNA from Pan troglodytes (chimpanzee), 270 nucleotides. RefSeq lists it as uncharacterized. Lineage: Eukaryota; Metazoa; Chordata; Mammalia; Primates; Hominidae. The transcript is spliced from 3 exons. The record is from RefSeq and is a predicted model, not a curated record.
CCUGCCCCUGCCUUCUAAGAAAAGAAAAUGGAAAAAGAGGAAGAAAGAGAAGACAUACACUGCCGCUUGAAGGAAAUAUAGUGUGUGUGCUCCUGCUUCACCUUCUGCCAUGAUUGUAAGGUUCCUGAGGACUUUCCAGAAGCAGAUACCAGCACUAUGCUUCCUGUAUAGCCUGCAGAACUGCAUUCAACGUGGUGACCACUGUUCCAGCAUACUCUUGUGAGCCAAUAAAGAAUCCUGUGGCUUCUCUUCAAAAAAAGAAUCCAUCCA